GUGAAGAACGUAGCGAAAUGCGAUAAGUAAUGUGAAUUGCAGAAUUCCGUGAAUCAUCGAAUCUUUGAACGCACAUUGCGCCCCCUGGCAUUCCGGGGGGCAUGCCUGUCCGAGCGUCAUUUCUGCCCUCAAGCACGGCUUGUGUGUUGGGUGUGGUCCCCCCGGGGACCUGCCCGAAAGGCAGCGGCGACGUCCGUCUGGUCCUCGAGCGUAUGGGGCUCUGUCACUCGCUCGGGAAGGACCUGCGGGGGUUGGUCACCACUAUAUUUUACCACGGUUGACCUCGGAUCAGGUAGGAGUUACCCGCUGAACUUAAGCAUAUCAAUAAGCGGAGGA
RNAcentral lists this unclassified non-coding RNA (336 nucleotides) under soil metagenome. RNAcentral's name for it is "partial contains 5.8S ribosomal RNA, internal transcribed spacer 2, and large subunit ribosomal RNA". The stretch from base 2 to 119 matches the Rfam family "5.8S ribosomal RNA", at positions 37 to 154 of the family's 154-position model. The record is from RNAcentral.